Long non-coding RNA from Hirundo rustica (Barn swallow), 852 nucleotides. RefSeq lists it as uncharacterized. NCBI's taxonomy places the organism in Eukaryota, Metazoa, Chordata, Aves, Passeriformes, Hirundinidae. The record is from RefSeq and is a predicted model, not a curated record. The transcript has 3 exons.
AGUUAUCCAGAGAGCUGUGGUUUCUCCACUCCCAGAGCUGCCCCAGCAGAAGCUGCUAGAAGAGUUAGACAUCUUCAAUGCAGCACAUUCCCUUUUCCUCCUGCCAUUCCAGUGGUGUCCUGCUGUCCUGGCUGUGUGAGGUUCCCAGAGUUGUUCUGGACCCUGAUAAACCAGAUCGUAAAUAUGGAGAAAUUACCUGCACCUGGGGAGUUUUGGCAAUGAGGGCAACAUCCAGGCCGAUGAGCUGCCCUGCAGCGUGGAGAGACCCUCCCUCACCACCGCUCCCUGCCAGCCAGGUGGAGUCAGUCCCCUGCAGUAUUUCACAGCUCCCCUCUUCCAUUUCCCCCCCACACUUCUGUUCACUUAGAGAUGAGCCUGGAUUUACCCCUUCCUGACUCUUGAUAAAGUUGAUCAAUGGACCAGUUCAGUCAUGUGUAGUGGGUAGAACAAAAGCUCCUUGAGCGUUCAGAUCCACCUCCAAAGUGCACAGCUUGAGCCCAUCUCCAGGUUUAAUUACUCCCGACCAUUCCCAUGUGUCUCUGGGAAAGAUGCGUCCCCUCAUCUCUGUAUCUGCUUUAAAAUUCGAUCAGUUGCCAUUUUUCUAAAUCCUUCUAUCAAAGAAAUCCUCUCCCCUCCCUCCUAAAUCUCUUGCACUUGGAACUUCAGGGAACAGAGCAGAUGCAGUUUGAUGCCCUCAUCCAAACUAAUGAUUUGUUUCUGGCCGAGAACACGUUACCAUCAAGGGGUUUUAAUAUUCUGCAGAAUUUAGUGGAGGCCAAUAGAGUAGGAGGGGGGUUAGAUGCUCUGCCUUUGCCAAGAUGUUUAUGCAGCAGGAAUGUUAUUUAUGUAAAU